Molecule: non-coding RNA, 13518 nt
Organism: Xyrichtys novacula (pearly razorfish)
Lineage: Eukaryota; Metazoa; Chordata; Actinopteri; Labriformes; Labridae
Source: the annotation of a GenBank genome assembly
GCUUACACUCCGGGGACGUACUCUUCGUGUUGCUGUUUUGGCACACACCGUGGAACCACCGGGGUCCUGCAGCCUCUUGGGUCCCAUGCAGACCUACUUUUACUGCAUCGUUGGAGGUGCCAAGGACUGGAGGAGUACCAGGUCUGAUAGUGGAGCCUGUUGUGCCACUAUUGGACUAGACUUUCUCAUUCUGAGCCUAAUAGUGGGCACAUUGUGAAAGCCAGUUUCCUUCUCUCACAGACAAAGAUACAAUUGCUGCUUUCUUAAAGAACAUAGCGGUUGUUUAUAAGCUCAGUAGGCUUGUAAUCACUAUAUUGCAUUAUUUUCAGUCAUAUGAUUAGUUUAAGUAGCUUCUAAGUUUCCUGAUCAUCAUAAAAUUGGGCACAACAAUGGAGUUUCCUUGUUCAUCACAUGUGUUUGGCAUGUGAGGGUUGCAGAAUCCUCAAAAACAUCUGGUCGUCAUUGCUUGGUUUUUCUUUUUAUAAUCGAAAUGCAAUCGACUUUUCUUCCCAAACUCUAUAAACUGGGAUGUCCUGGUUUCAAUUUCAACUCGAUUAAAUUUGUUUUUACAUGUGUAAACUCUAGAAAGUGACACCAAGAUGAAGAAAGACAUUUUAAUGUUUGUGGCGAUCAAUAGAUUUAAAGUUGCAGAUGUGCUAGCUGACUCAAGGACACCAUUUUAAGGAUAUUAACAAGUAAUUUCAGCUACUAGAGGAGUCGACAGUGUUAAAGAAAACGUAAGUUUCAAUGCUCACAUUGUUUUUUGUCUUUUUCUCCAUCUUGCUUCAUUACUGCUGAGGUAGCGCCUCAGACAAGUGGCUUUUGCUGGCCUCUCACCGUGCUCAUUAACAAGUCCACAUUCACUCUUCCCCUCCAUGGGUGUUGUUGAAUUUGUCUGAGUAGCCCAAUAUUGCUGCAGCCCAUAAUUCGACUUUAAUUAAUUCCCAGCCAGAUGGAAAUUCCUGUAGUUUCUCAUGAAAGAAAUGGUGUGUUUUCUCCCCGAGGCGGAUUGAUGGCGAAGCGAGCAGCUUUGCUACAGUGCUCGGGGUAGAGAGGAAUGCUAAUAAUUCUUAAAGGCUUACAGUUCGUCAGCAGUAGCCAUGGCAAUUCCUCACAUACAAUGGUGGCCUUUUAGAGGAUCGGAGAGGAGGAGGUGGGGGCUGCGCCUUCAUUGACUAAGUUUGGUGUGAUAUUGGGAAAGACCUCUUUGCACUUUGCACUGUUCUGGUUAUUAUAAGAUUAAGUGGUACCCACAGCAGUUUGCUUAAGUGAACCAUCAUGGAGAGGAGGAUAGGGGAGGGGAACUGUCUGUGCAGAACAUAAGCACUGCAUUGAUAAUACCCCGAUACCCAAAUUAGACACUUAAAAUACACAUUAAUAACUUUGGGUAUUGCCUAUUUUCCCAGUCAGGACCAUAGACUGUAUAUACUAUGAACAACAUGGUUCCGCCUUCCGCCUGUAUACGGAUUUGAAGCCAAAAAGCUCUCGGUAUUACCGGGAUUUUUCUUCACUUCCUGAAACCAGCACUGUGCAUUAGCGUUGUGCGCAUUCGGCCGCGCAGUCGCAGAGAGUCACUGUGAUGACGCUCGGCUCAAACAGCGUAUCCCCCCCAUAGACAUAAUAAAAGAUAGACCUCGCAUCGGCCGCUACCACGAAUGGGCGCUGUCGGGAAAUGCGGCCGCCAUCUUGGUCCGGUCAUCCGCCUCACUCUGCACCACAGCCCCAUAAGCUUUGCUGGCAGAGGCAGGAUUUAUGACCUAUACUGCAGCCCAUCAACAGAGGGUGCUGUUCUCAGAGUGGCUUCACCCAUCGAGGAGGCAGACUCUGUCCUUUCUGUAUACAGUCUAUGGUCAGGACGUACACUUCAAUAUAGAACUUCUGGAGCUCAUGAGUUUCGUUAUUUAAUGCAACAUGACAUCAGGUCCGUCGGACGACAUGUGAGCGCUUGUGCAUUUUGACCACGAAUGAAUCCAGGCUCUGUGCGGAGACUUGUUGCUGUUAUUGCUUAAAGAGGAAAAAACAACAACAACAGUGUGUUUCUAAUUCCCCUCAUGAUUCGCUGAUUGGUAUCUACAUUACAGGAGCAUGCAGAAUGAAAAUCACUUCCCUUUCUACACUCAAUGACUCAACUGUAAGGGUGGACUCACAGGCCAGUGCUUUACUGUACAAGGCCUCAGGAUAAACUUCUGUUAAUUCAUAACUUUUUAAAACAACUGCUGUGUUAGAAGAGACGAAGAGGCUGUCAGAGUUCAGAUCCGAAAUACAAACUGCUUUUAAAGCCCUCUGUUCAGCUGGUUAUUAAGCACACAUCAUAUGACUGGAAUUAAACGACUGGUGAUGUAACUUUAUGACAUCCAAAGGCAAAAAAGUCAAUUUUUAAAUUUUACUUUUUUAUGGGAUUUAAACUCUUGCUCAAACAAGUACAAAUAUCAGAUAUUUUAAUGUACUUUGGUCUCAAACCCCCAAAAGUAUCAGCCGUAAUGAACUCGAGCAUGCAGUACGAUAAAUAUAUCCAAUACACCACCAAUAGUCCAAAUAAAAAUAAGCUUUUUGACAGCAUAGUGAAGCACUUAAAACUUUAAAAAACAGAGUUUGGCUUAGACUUUCUUUGGUGUUUGUAUUGGAGGUUCUUAAAAUGAGAUAAAUUACACAGAAGUCUUGGCCCUGUCUGCAGAAGCUGAUAGUGUCAUGAAGAAAAGAAUGGCCCAAAUGCAGAACAAAAAAGGAUUUAUUUAAAAUAAAUAAAUGAAAGGCAACAAAAACUUACUCUCAAAAAUGUCCAAUAAAAAAUCCAAAAUCCAGCAAAAGGCACUGAGGGGAAAAUCACAAGAAGACACUGGGGACACUGGCGUACGCACAUCUUGAGAAACACACAAUGAACCAACAAGCACAAAGAGGAAGACAGGGACUAUAUACAUGCAGGGAAAUGAGCAACAGGUGAGGCAGACGAGACACAGAAACUUAUGGGUGAUUAAUGGAGGAGGGAAAACUUGGGGAGUAAAACCAGACUAGGUACACAAGGAGUCAGCUACUACAAAAUCAAAUGAGAACCAAUCUACAGAAUAAAACACUGAGAACAGGAGGGAAACGGGGUCAGACACAAACUGAAAACUCACAAGACAGGACUACAGGGGAACAGAAACAAAAGGGAAAAUACAAAGAAAAUACACUGAAAUAACAAAAAAACUAAAUCAACAGAUCAUAUCAUAACAGAUACCCUCAACAUCACUCCAGUUCUUGAUUCUGUUUCUGAAUAAAGAUGCUUAGCUGACCAGGAUCCCCUGUUAGAAAUACAGCUACACUAUUGACAAGUACAUACAACCCACUAAAAGAAGUCCUUUCCCUUUAGAGUGGGAUUUUGUGGGGCUCUGAUGACCCCAAAUUUAGAGGCUGUAGUCCUUUGUUUCAAGUCUCUUCUCUCCACAUUUCUCAUGUCUCUUUAGCUACCCCUAUUUAAAAACAGCAUUUAACCCCCGUGAAUAUUCCCUUUCGCCUUAAAAAUAAAGCAAUUGACAAAAUCAGCAGACAGGUAAGACAUGCUUUGUCCACUAGGGGUGCCAAAAAAGUGUAUAGGAGCUCAUAGGAGCUACAAACAUUGUUUCCACUGUGGGAGGCAAAGAAGUUUUACUCACAUCAGAUAUCAGAGUACAUGCCAUUCUUUACGCACACAGACAGCAGUGAGGUAUGAGCCAAAAGCAGGGAACUGCUGCAGAAAUUUGGCAUGUGUGCAGUAAGUAACUGUAAGAGGGGCUUUGUGACAGAUUAAGUCAUUUUGCUUUACUUUGUGGUAUUGUAAACAUUAACUUUUCAAUGUUUUUGCUGUGGUCCAGCCCUGAGAUGGAGCUGUUGUCUGCUGAGAAAGUUUAUUACCCCCAGGUGUAACUCCUGCUGGGACUUCUUGUUUAUGGCUUCAACCCCCCUCCAGCUUGUUAGUCGGGUUCAUUAGUAGAGCUCAGGCCACAAUUGCCCUAAAUUUAUGGUGCGGUGGCACUUUGGUGCAGCUGUUUCAAGGAGUUUAGCUUCAGGUUAGGGACUCCUUACUUCCCUCUGCAUGAACAAUUAGCUUUUCUUUUGCAUUGUUAUAGUUUCUUGUCUGUAAUGUUGAUGUAAAGACAGCAACAGACAUGCUCAGACUUGUUUCUCCUUAUUUAGAGGGGUGUUAGUCGUAAAAGUCUAUCAAUGUAAAGCUUGAGUGUAAGCAGAUAAAGCUCACUCUGUAGACAAAGUUCUGCAUUGCCUUAAUCUUCAGGAAAUUGCCAAAACAAACAAGAGGUAAAAAUGACUGAAUGAGAUAAUUAUACGACUGAUAGAAAUAGCAGAGAUACGAUAAUUAUAUGAUUGAUCGAAAUAGCCGCGAUGCUGUAAUUAUGAAUAUGACAGCUGAUGCGGUCUCCCUCCAGGAAACCACCGUCUUUAUAUGUUUCCAAAAAGCCAUAAUCAGCAGCACACCAGGCAUGCGCUCUCUGCCCAGGAAACGACCACGUACUUUAGAAUUAUAGUCAUUUGGAAAUGGAGGCAGCUGGGUAAGGUUUGGGGAAUUUGGGUUAAUUGCUAAGCCUGUGUCCUUUUCAGAGACCACAGGUUAAUGGGCAGUGUGUUUUUAUAUCAACAGCGCACACAGAUGCAUGUUGAUAAUUUGGCUAAUUGAAUGGGAAGGUCAUAAUCAUUCGCUGACCUCUUUAAAACUGCUAUUCCUCUUCAUUUCCUCUGGGACAGCUGGCCACUUUUCCUAUAAGAGUGCACCAGGCGAGCUCGUCCAAAUUCAACACACACCAUCUGCAGUGUUUUUACACUCUUACUCUGAGCUGCUACUUUGUGUGUUUACAGUGUUUACAGCGUCUGACAAGUGAGCGCAGAGGGACACAUGCUUUUGUGUUUGGAUUGCGUAAGAGAGCGGCAGAAGUUGUUAGCCAGCUGGUCUGUUGGGGUUAAAAUGAUAUCAAGAGGCCUGCUGAGAGUCGCUGAGGCCUUCUGGGAAAUAUCUUCCUUUGUACUGUGUCUGAUGAAAGGAGCUGAAGGCUGCUUACUUGGGAUCAUUUGGAGUUUUUGAGGUCAGAUAAGAUUUCUAUUUUUUUCCACAGAAGGCUGGUUAUGAGAAUGAUAAAACUACAUUUAGCCCCAAAGGACAUGUUGGUGUUUUUUUGUUCUUGAAUGCCCUCUUCACAUCUUUCAACCGAUUAUGUUUAGUUUUAUUUCCAUCCUCACCCCUCAUUCACCUUUAAAAAAAUGAGCUCAAAGCAAUCAAACGAUCUGAAAACAAUAAACAAUAAUCUACCCCAAAUAUCAGCUGGUUUAUGGUGGAUUAAUAUGGCAGAAACAAACAACCCAAAACAUUUGGAGCGCCCUUUCACUGAUCUCACUAAAGGUAACAAAACCCGCCUCCUCCAUGUAAACAGAUGGGCCAUGGGUCAGUGUUUAAAACUGAAAUACAAAAAAAAAAUAGUUUUAUUCUAUUAUUUGGUUUUAUUAGAAAACAUGAUUAUAGAUCUGUUUACAAAUUCAGCCGUACUAUGAUGCUGUGAGGACUAAAUAUGGUACUGUCAAGCAGUGACAUGGAUGUAGACUGGCAUUGUAGAGGCGGGAUGAUGAGAGGAAGAGUAAAAGUCACUAAACCAACCAAACCAACCCAAGAAUCUGAAGGGACAGGAAGUCAAUACUGUCAAUACUUUGUCCCCACCUGUCAUGGGAGGUAAUUUUGUGCAACAUUUUAGGUGGGAAGUCAAGCCAGCAAAAUACCAUCAAAAAGGGCCUGUUUCCAUUGACCCAUGUGGUCCACAGGAAGUGUGUGCAUGGUUUUGCUCCACCCUACUCAUAGAUUAGAUAAUAACUGGAUAAAGUAAUGUCACACAGCUUUAGUACAGACAGCCUUUACCUUUUGCAUGCUAAUUUAUUGUAGCAUUGAAUAAGACAGUGUCUGAUUUAACAUUGAAUAGACUGUCUGAUAACUUCAGCGUGGACAUUUAGAGUUAACCGUUCAUUCAUGAACUGCUGUGCGUAGCUCAAAGCGAUAGUUUGGGGUUGAGUGUCUUGCCUGAGGACACACAGGCAUAAGGACAGCGGGAACUGGGUUCAAAGCCUUGACUUUUUGAUCAAGAGAUGACGGACUCUACUUCACAGACAUCACUUGCUGUGUGACAUUUUCAGGACCCGAGAGCAAAAACGAAAAAGAAAACCUUUGAUUUUUCAGUAAGGGAAGAAGAAGUGACAGUUUUGGUAGCUGAGAAACAUUGAGCACCAGUGAGUAUUUCCCUUUAAUCACCCGAGUAUCAAAGCAAUACUCAGCCAAAAGUAGGCUAUUUAAAUCCAAGUGUAAGAAUCGGAAAAGAAAGUCGGUCCCGGAACUUCCCUGGUUUGUUGGCCUGUCAGCAGAGACCGUGCGCUGCUGCAGCUCUGUGUUGAUCUAUGGCUGCAGAGUGACUUCAUGGAGACUGCUCAGACUUCAGGGGCCCGGCUCGCCUCUUGUUUGGACUCUUGCCAAAGUGAGCUCAUCCAUGACAGCGAGUCCAGCUGCUCGCUCGUAGGAGCGCUGCUCUUCCUCGACCUCCGCGCCUGGUCCUGAACUCAGGAGCCGGCCUGUGUGUGGACUUCGGGGGUGAGCGUUAGUGUGAGUGUGACACCAUUCCCAGAAGCUCCGACAGGGACUGACCACUGGCAGCCUGCCGCCCCCUCGGCGCCUGCUAAGCACUCCGGCCUCAAGCCUCCACAGUUCCCUACGGAGAGGCCCAGUUUGUUCUGGACACACGCCAGCGCUGAGCAGUAGGGGGCAGGGCUAGGUCAGCUCUCAGGGGUGGUCCUGUAGUCCAAGUGUAUGAAUGCAUGUCUAUUUGUGAUGUGUUUGGAGCCAUCAUGAUUAGCUUGUGUUUUGUUUUGCUGUGAUUCUAUUAUUUUUGAUUUGGUGUUAAGCCUCGGGGAUGCUAGAUCUUCUCAGUCUUUGUUGAGCUCCCAAUGUGUCUUGGGAAUGUGGAGGAGGACAGCACAAGAAAGAUUGUGCCUCUAACUCAUUCAGCUGAUUGGCUGGAGGGCGGGGUUGUCCAUUGGCUCCAGCUCUGGACAUUCUUGGUGAAAAGGUGUCGCUCUAUUAGCGAUAUCAGCUGAAAUUAAAGAUAUCUCUCGAGUAUUUUCAGUUAGCUUUACUGGGCUGUGUUUGAGAUUAUUCUGUCACUCAAUCAUUUCCUGGACUAACACCAUCAAUCUGGUCUCAAUCUGUGGCGAAGCACACGAGCAUGAGGGCAGCCAAAGGUCAGAACCUGAGAAGGAGUCAUAUCUCGUUGCUCCCCCCUCCUCCCGAUUUCGUGCUCCCUCUCUGUGGCCACCACCUCAGCCCUGAACCGAGUCCUGCCCCAGCUCACCACCAUUUGGAAUCCAUUAUCCAACCAGGCUCUGAGUUUUUCCUGAUAAUUAAAAGGAGACGUUCUCCAGCGUUCUCCCUUUAGAUUAACGGCUGUUCUCUUGGGCUCAGCCAGUGGGAGGGCCGGCACAGCGGGGUGGUGGGUGCUCUGGAGACUCCAGGGCUGGGAGGGAAGCGUUGAGGGUAUGGGUACGGGUUAAUAGUGGUGAGCCAAGUCCAUGAGUUGAGACAAGUUGUAUUAAGCUUGCUGUGUGGAGCUGGGAUUUGGGAUUCAGAGAGGGUCUUUGAAAGGAUUUUGUGGGAGCAGAGACUGGAAGAGAGGUGUUCUUUGGAGGUACAACUAAGACGGGGCCAAAGCUGUGGUUUGUAAAAUAAAUAGUAUCAAAUACAAAACAUCUGUCAUAUAAUGUAGGUCCUAUUCUGGGCCUGUGGGUCAACCCUGAGCCCAGUUGGAUCUGCUUGCAGUGUUUGGCAUAUGGCAGGGGAGCUGGCUGCUUCACGCAGAGGUCAGGAACACUGUGAUUGCAGCUCAAUGCUGCAGUAUCAUCAAACCAGCCCAACAGAAGUAGCUACACAUGGUCACAUUGAGUUCAUCGCACAUCUGUGAAAUUGUGUUUGACAGUGUUGACUUAUAAAAUUCAUGUCUUGGCUUUAACAUGUGUUUACGUUUCGUUUCUCUUUUCCCUGUUGAUGACAAGGUUGCCAGUCAAUCCUGUAACCAGGUUAUAUGAGAAUAAAAAUCAACAGUUCUGAUGGCAGCCAGAAUUAACGUAAAACCCUCAUCCAAAUACAUUUAUUCCAUUAAAUGAAUUCAUAAAUAAUGUCAAUAAAGUGAAGUGGACAUGUUCAUGCUGUAGAGGACUUAUGCUGGACAAGAGAAAUAUACAGCUGUGCAUUACUAAAUCUGUACGGUUGUAUAAGUUAGAGUGACAUAGUGGUCAUUUAUCAUGAGUUUAGUUGUAGUACUUCCUGUGGAUAGCUUAUACAUGACACCUCCAGGUUCAAUGCUUUAAAAUGAGCUGCAGAAGGACACUUUUUCACAUACCUUAUUAUCCACCUGCACAACAUCCUAAGCUAUCAUCCCGUUAGCCACUGGCUAGCAUGUUUGUCGAUUGUUUUGGUAUGUAAUAGGUCAACCAAGCAAUGACCUAGCAGUAACAAGCUGUAAAUAGGCUUCUCAUUACGUGCCGUAGCAGGAGAAAACAUACUUAUGUUGAUAAUUUGAUUCUCGCUCAGUGCUUGUAAACAAGGACGAGAACAGUAAUUGAGUUAAAUUGUCUGCUGAUCGAUAACUGUAGCUCAACUUAUCCAUGCAUGUAAACCAGUGGCGGCUGCUGGUCUUUCAAGGAAGGGAAGCUCAUUUCUUGACAGGGUCACAGAUCAUUUUCUUGAAAAUUAACGGAGGGUAGAAUUUACAUAUAAAUAAACAUCAUAAAUGGGCUUGUUUAUUUAUAUGUAAAUUCUACCCUCCGUUCCUUUUCAAGGAAAUGAUCUGUGACCCUGUCGUGACAAAAGAGAGUUGCCAAACGCAACAAUAGUUGUUUCUAACAAUAACAAAGUCGCUGGGGAUCGGUAAAGUCUCCGGAUCAGUUCAGAACAACAAACUGAAUGAAAAACUUGGAAAAUGUUCCAGUGGAUUUUUAUACUUUAAGAUCACUGGUUUGCUUAUUUCACUGUCAAUCAAAAAGGGAUUCUGUCUUAGACAGAUUAUCCAAUCAUGCAGAAGCCGAGCAUCCAGGCCAGCCCACUGCCCCAUUAGACCCCCAGAGACACUGAGCGUCUGAUGGGCGGGACAAAGCCCAACAUUUAUCCAAUGACCGUCCAGUUUUGCGCAGUGGAACAACCCACUUUACGCUUCCCCAUUGAAGUCAGACCGUGUAAAGCACUGUGGCGCUGUGGGGGUGAAUGAGAAGGGAGUCGUGUCGGGACUCCUUUCUCUAGCGCAUAUUUAGUCAGUGAAAUGUACACACAGCUGUACAUAUUUCACAUUUUUUUUCUUUUACAUUUUAGGGAAAGUUGAGCUUCCCUUGCAGUCUUAGCACAAUUGCCACUGACGUAAACGCUCUGACUGUGAUGCGUCCAAGUACCAUUGGAAAGUUUCAGUCUGUGUGCUAUUUUCUUGUUUCAAGAAGACUUGGAUGCCUAACAAGCUGUUAGCAGAAUGGAUGGGACCAAAAGCUGGACAUGUACUGUAUGCUUUGAUGUAUUGAGUCAGGGGGAAAAGCCAGUGAAAACAAUAAUUUAAGCAGUUAUGAGUUCAUUUAUCAUCAAGUUUCCCAUGUUAAUAGUUCAUUUAUCCACAUUUUAUUGUUUUCCAUGUUUCCUUGUUGCACUUGUAGGCCAGUAAAACACCCACUGAUGGGACCCUUUACGAAGUAUCUUGAUUCUGUUUCCCACUUCAUCAUCGGACCCCUGGACACGUUACAGUUAGAAAAACAUAUGAAUCAUAUCAGAUAGCAUCAAGUCCAUGUAGGUGACACAUGAGCACCCAUUAGUCAUUUCUCCAUGGCUGUGUGCAUCCUCUUAACCUUAGUAUGUCGACUCAGAUCAUUAUCAACUUAAAGCGCAUUGAGAAACACAAAGUUUGAACUCAACCCCCCCUGCAAAUUAAAUUGUCACCAUUAAGCACUGUGAAAUGGGUCAUAGGCGGUCAAUAGUUGGUGGUUCAUGCAUGUGAUGAGGCUCCAGCAGUGAGUGUAUCUGAUGACAGUGCAGCCUCAGUUGGUUUCUGCGGGCUUUUUAUGAACCAUGGUCGGUCUUGAACUUGUGACAUGCGAGCAGAACGACACUUCUUAUCUCCAGAGCCCAAAGAUUGAUCACAGGACUCUCAAAUCAGAUGAUACGGCAGCUGAUGAAGUCUCUGUCUCUUGUGUAUGACAGCUUCUUCACAGUUCGGGCCUUGUGUCAUGUGAUGCAAGAGCUUUUUCAACGUGUGCUUUAUUUUAGUUACAGAAGACGAUACAGAAAGCAUUUGUUUUCAUGGUUUUAGAUUGUCAUAUUCAGCAGAGGUCAAGCCCAGGAGACUUUUUGAGGGAAAGGCUGUGGUUGUAAGGACUGAUAUCAAUCUCCUCAUGACCCACAAAGACAAGCCGCUUCAAACAAACAAAUGGAUUUUGUGGCGCAGUAUAUCUGUGGUUCUUUGCUAUUUUAAGAUGCAUCAAAACCAACAUUCGACACAAGAACUGACCUCUGUUAAAAGCUCCACAUCUGUUGGUCUGAUGAGGUUUUUGUUUUCCUUCUCUCAGUCCAAUAAUCCUAUUUGUUUGUCUUUGAAACAAGAGUUUGAACAUCAAAAAAUGUGGUUGUGGCCAUUGUUUAGUCUUGUCUGGCUAACCUCAGCCAGACAAAUCAAUGACUUGUGUUCAAAAGCUGCCCGUCUCUUUAUCCACAAAACAGCCUCAGCUUUCAAACACACCAGAGUGCCAGUCCUAUAGUCAUCUUUUUUGCCAUUUCUGCUUUUAUUGAAGCAAUCAUUUUGUCUCCUAGCAGCAGUUGAAAUUACAGCGCUGGAAGCUGUGACUUUCAGGUGGUUAAACUGCACAUACACUCAGGCGAAACCUCUGCUUCCUUUGAAAUCAAUCAGCUGGUCACGCCUCAUUUCCUGCCAGCCUCCAGUGAACGCAACGACCAGAGCUUCUACCCGGUGCCAGACGUGUGUCUAAAUAUCUACAUAUCAUAGUAGGUACAGCUCUGCACUGCUGGAUACACUCUCAGAAAUAAAGGGUUUCAAAAGGGUUCUGCUUGGGAUCAUACUUUGAGGUGAAGGGUUGCUUGUGAAACCUCUUGAGGGGUUCUAGUUGGAAUCUUUGGACCACAGAUGGGGUAUUUUUAGAACAUUGCAUGUUUGGUUCAGAUAAAAUCUUUGACUUGAAAUAUCUUUAAAACCUAUAGUGGUGGUUCUGUUUAAAAUCUUUGGGUCAUCUGCAGGACUUUGCUAAGGAGGUUCUCUCUGGAACCUUCAAUACAAACUUUGGGGGUUAUGCUGCGUUCCAGUUACCUCAGAUGUUGGAGCUGGGAAUGAUGCUUCACCCGAGUUGACAGCAUUCAAGUUAACAAGUAGCUGUUGUUUACAAUUGACAGCUGUCGUUGGCCGUUGUCAGUUGUUGUUAGCGAUAUUAGUUGUAAACAACGCACAACACAGUAUUUUACUCUACAAACACCAUAGCACCGUGUUCACAGUUAGACGUUGGGCAUUACAACAUAUAAAACUUAUUUAAUUUCACAAAAACAAAACAGAAGUGCUAAUAAAUAAAACAUUAUGAGAGCUUUUAAUGUUACUCUUUACUCUUGAUGCGCUGUACUGCCAUCUUGGAUUAUGACGUUGUCGUCAAGUCAGGGUUGGUGAGGAUUGUCCAACAUUCCGAGUCGGACACCCAACCUCCGGGGGCGUUCCAGAUCAAUUUCCGACUCAGAGCUUGGAAAUUCCUAAUUCUGAGUGCAACUGGAAUGCAGAAUUAGAACCUCUCAUAAGAAUUUUUAGAUGAGCUUUUAGAACCAAAAGGGUAGAAACUUAAACCACUGAGAGGAUAUUGGUAGACUCUCAAAUAAGGGGUUCUGGGUGGAACCUUGACCCAUAGGAGGGCUAUCUGUAGAGCCUAAGUAUUGGAUGUACUUGUGAACCCUUUGAGUCAAACAAGGGUUAUCUGUAGAACCUUGAAGGAGGAGGGGGAAUCCAGAUGGAACCCUGGACCAUAGGAGGACUUUUAGUUGGAACCUUUUUAUUAAAGAGGCCGCUCUUCAACAAAGUUAGGAGUGCAACUUUCUGAUGACUCGGUACCCACACAGGUGGUUUCAGACAAAAUCUUUGGGUGAAAUGAGGGUAUCUAGAACCUUAGCAUUAGUGGUUUUAGUAAUGUCAAAUCAUAGAACAUCGCAUAGGGGUUCUGGUUAAACCGUCAUAUCAUGGAUUGGGUGUCUUCAAAACCAAGCAAAAGGAUGUGGGGAGGGGGCCUUUGAACGUAAAAAGAGGUUCUGUUUGGGAUCAUACAAAGAUUUCAUCAAAAGAGGUUCUGAGCUUUUGGAUCAGAGGGGUGUCUGCUAAACUUCAAGGAGUUCAUGGUGGUUUCUCUUGGAUUGCAGAAGGGCUGUUAGUAGAGUCUUGAAUUGUUGGCUCCUGGCUGAACCCUUCAAGAAAGAUUCGACCGGAUUAAUAAUCUAUUUGCUGGUCGUGGUAGAACCCCCUGACGGCAGAGUAGGGGUUCCUUCUUCAACGGUUCUUGUAGUAAUUUAAAAAAAAGGUUCUACAAUGAGGAGAAACCUACAUGGCUCUAGUUUGCACCGUUAUAUCUGAGGGUGUGGAUCACUUCAACACAUGGUUCAUAUAAACCAGCAGAAGGAAAGAGUUUCAAGUCAUGAACCAACUCUUAAGCCAAUAGUUCUUGGGUUGUUGCAAUCUUCUUAUGAGCUGGUUUCACUGCGCUUUCAUUUUACAUUCGAGGAAUGUCUUUGAGAUUAAUGACAUGCACACGCACACAUAUGCUUUCAUAAUUUAAAAAGUAUCUGGUUUUCAAAACAAGAGUUUAAGCAGAGUGAAGGUGCCUCUGAGUGACUGAUGCUGUCCCCCUCUCCUCACAUGGCAGGCCUGCUCCUGUGGUCAUAGGUUGACGUUGGCCUAAUAACAAAUUACUGCUUUGCUCCAAUCAGAGGUAUUCAGACAUCCGCCUGGGCCGGCCGCCCGCCUCUCUUUUUCUCUAUUUUAAGAGCCAGACCGAGGGGGGGUGGAAUUACACUCCAAUAAACUUAAUCAUUCCCAUCAGUGAUGUGGGAUACAGAGAAGGGACUGAACUCUUCUGCUGCUUCGGGGCUGUUUCCAUGAGGCACGUUCUUGAUCCACAUUAAUGUCCUCUAAAGGUUUAGUGGCGAUCACCGCACCACUACCAUAUGCAGAGGGAAAACCUUUGAAACUGUCUGUGAUAUGCGUCACUUGUGCUUUUGACCGGGCUAGCGCGGUGCAGCAUGUGCAAACUAAUUCUAGAGUGGAGGAAACUGGAAAAGAGAUGAGAGUUAGAAGAAGGAAGAAAGGACAGUGGAUGCGGCUGCAGCGGUUUACCAGCAGCUGUCAUCCCAAAUGACUGACUUGAAGGAGCUUUUGACAUUGAGUCUGGUGUAAAGGAAGGAUGCAUAAUGCUUUACACUGAACUGUUUAUCAGCUUUCAUAUCCUGAACCUGAA